GGUCGCAAGAUUGAAACUCAAAGGAAUUGACGGGGGCCCGCACAAGCGGAGGAACAUGUGGUUUAAUUCGAUGAUACGCGAGGAACCUUACCUGGGCUUAAAUGCAGGACGACGUCCCGGGAAAUCGGGACUCUCUUCGGAGCGGACUGCAAGGUGCUGCAUGGUUGUCGUCAGCUCGUGCCGUGAGGUGUCGGGUUAAGUCCCAUAACGAGCGCAACCCUUAUCGUUAGUUGCCAGCGGGUAAAGCCGGGGACUCUAACGAAACUGCCGGUGUAAACCGAGAGGAAGGUGGGGAUGACGUCAAAUCAGCACGGCCCUUAUGUCCAGGGCUACACACGUGUUACAAUGGCCGGUACAGAGGGUAGCUACUAUGUAAAUAGAUGCCAAUCUCGAAAACCGGUCUUAGUUCGGAUCGAAGUCUGCAACUCGACUUCGUGAAGCUGGAUUCGCUAGUAAUCGCGCAUCAGCCACGGCGCGGUGAAUACGUUCCCGGGCCUUGUACACACCG
This 508-nucleotide ribosomal RNA is filed under the name uncultured bacterium. Its description in RNAcentral is "bacterial SSU rRNA". It matches the Rfam family "Bacterial small subunit ribosomal RNA", at positions 884 to 1392 of the family's 1533-position model. The record is from RNAcentral.